AUAAUGCACCUCCAGGGGGGGUGAGAAGCCCCGACCGGGGUUCGACAACUGGCGCAGCCAGUUGGACAGACCACGAACGCAGUGAGUGGGCUGCCCGCAGGGCGAGCGAAGCGAGUCAAUCCCCCCUCACCGCCA
Molecule: small RNA, 135 nt
Filed under: Escherichia coli O176:H45
Lineage: Bacteria; Pseudomonadati; Pseudomonadota; Gammaproteobacteria; Enterobacterales; Enterobacteriaceae
Description: RtT sRNA
Rfam family: RtT RNA
About the family: This family represents a bacterial cis-regulatory element known as RtT RNA. The exact function of RtT is unknown although it is thought that it may be involved in changing the cellular response in relation to amino acid starvation.
Source: RNAcentral